RNAcentral lists this ribosomal RNA (888 nucleotides) under Athalia sp. Sus6. Its description in RNAcentral is "SSU rRNA". It matches the Rfam family "Eukaryotic small subunit ribosomal RNA", at positions 594 to 1420 of the family's 1831-position model. Lineage: Eukaryota; Metazoa; Arthropoda; Insecta; Hymenoptera; Athaliidae. The record is from RNAcentral.
AUAGCGUAUAUUAAAGUUGUUGCGGUUAAAAAGCUCGUAGUUGAAUCUGUGUCCCACGCUGUCGGUUCACCGCUCGCGGUGUUUAACUGGCAUGAUUGUGGGACGUCCUACCGGUGGGCUUAGCCUUUCGGGGCGGCCCAACUAAUAUCCCAUCGCGGUGCUCUUCAUUGAGUGUCGAGGUGGGCCGGUACGUUUACUUUGAACAAAUUAGAGUGCUUAAAGCAGGCUAUUUUCGCCUGAAUACUGUGUGCAUGGAAUAAUGGAAUAGGACCUCGGUUCUAUUUUGUUGGUUUUCGGAACCCCGAGGUAAUGAUUAAUAGGAACAGAUGGGGGCAUUCGUAUUGCGACGUUAGAGGUGAAAUUCUUGGAUCGUCGCAAGACGGACAGAAGCGAAAGCAUUUGCCAAAAAUGUUUUCUUUAAUCAAGAACGAAAGUUAGAGGUUCGAAGGCGAUCAGAUACCGCCCUAGUUCUAACCAUAAACGAUGCCAGCUAGCGAUCCGCCGAAGUUCCUCCGAUGACUCGGCGGGCAGCUUCCGGGAAACCAAAGCUUUUGGGUUCCGGGGGAAGUAUGGUUGCAAAGCUGAAACUUAAAGGAAUUGACGGAAGGGCACCACCAGGAGUGGAGCCUGCGGCUUAAUUUGACUCAACACGGGAAACCUCACCAGGCCCGGACACCGGAAGGAUUGACAGAUUGAGAGCUCUUUCUUGAUUCGGUGGGUGGUGGUGCAUGGCCGUUCUUAGUUGGUGGAGCGAUUUGUCUGGUUAAUUCCGAUAACGAACGAGACUCUAGCCUGCUAAAUAGGCGUACUUUCCGGUAUCUCGAAGGCCCCCGGCUUCGGUCGGGAGGUUUUUACUACCGGCGUACAAAUAAAUCUUCUUAGAGGGAC